UGUUUCGGCAAGGGGGUCAUCCCGACUUACCAACCCGAUGCAAACUGCGAAUACCGGAGAAUGUUAUCACGGGAGACACACGGCGGGUGCUAACGUCCGUCGUGAAGAGGGAAACAACCCAGACCGCCAGCUAAGGUCCCAAAGUCAUGGUUAAGUGGGAAACGAUGUGGGAAGGCCCAGACAGCCAGGAUGUUGGCUUAGAAGCAGCCAUCAUUUAAAGAAAGCGUAAUAGCUCACUGGUCGAGUCGGCCUGCGCGGAAGAUGUAACGGGGCUAAACCAUGCACCGAAGCUGCGGCAGCGACGCUUAUGCGUUGUUGGGUAGGGGAGCGUUCUGUAAGCCUGUGAAGGUGUGCUGUGAGGCAUGCUGGAGGUAUCAGAAGUGCGAAUGCUGACAUAAGUAACGAUAAAGCGGGUGAAAAGCCCGCUCGCCGGAAGACCAAGGGUUCCUGUCCAACGUUAAUCGGGGCAGGGUGAGUCGACCCCUAAGGCGAGGCCGAAAGGCGUAGUCGAUGGGAAACAGGUUAAUAUUCCUGUACUUGGUGUUACUGCGAAGGGGGGACGGAGAAGGCUAUGUUGGCCGGGCGACGGUUGUCCCGGUUUAAGCGUGUAGGC
This 613-nucleotide ribosomal RNA is filed under the name Escherichia coli. RNAcentral describes it as "partial 23S ribosomal RNA". It matches the Rfam family "Bacterial large subunit ribosomal RNA", at positions 911 to 1525 of the family's 2925-position model. The record is from RNAcentral. Lineage: Bacteria; Pseudomonadati; Pseudomonadota; Gammaproteobacteria; Enterobacterales; Enterobacteriaceae.